RNAcentral lists this ribosomal RNA (307 nucleotides) under uncultured bacterium. Its description in RNAcentral is "bacterial SSU rRNA". It matches the Rfam family "Bacterial small subunit ribosomal RNA", at positions 28 to 334 of the family's 1533-position model. The record is from RNAcentral.
GACGAACGCUGGCGGCGUGCCUAACACAUGCAAGUCGAACGGGGUAAAGAGCUUCGGUUCUUUACUUAGUGGCGAACGGGUGAGUAGCGCGUGAGAAACCUGCCUUUCAGUGGGGGACAACAGUUGGAAACGACUGCUAAUACCGCAUAAUGUUAUUUGAGGGCAUCCUCGGAUAACCAAAGAUUUAUUGCUGAAAGAUGGUCUCGCGUCUGAUUGGCUAGUUGGUGAGGUAACGGCUCACCAAGGCGACGAUCAGUAGCCGGUCUGAGAGGGUGAACGGCCACACUGGGACUGAGACACGGCCCAG